GAGGUUACAGCUUGGUGGGUAGAGCGCCUGCUUAGCAUGCAUGAGGUCCUGGGUUCAAUCCCCAGUACCUCCA
Molecule: transfer RNA, 73 nt
Filed under: Camelus bactrianus (Bactrian camel)
Lineage: Eukaryota; Metazoa; Chordata; Mammalia; Artiodactyla; Camelidae
Also listed under: 2 other names
Rfam family: tRNA
About the family: Transfer RNA (tRNA) molecules are approximately 80 nucleotides in length. Their secondary structure includes four short double-helical elements and three loops (D, anti-codon, and T loops).
Source: Rfam by way of RNAcentral